CGCGGGGUAGAGCAAUUGGCAGCUCGUCGGGCUCAUAACCCGAAGGUUGCCGGUUCGAGUCCGGCCCCCGCAA
Molecule: transfer RNA, 73 nt
Filed under: Parcubacteria group bacterium GW2011_GWA2_38_13b
Lineage: Bacteria
Description: tRNA-Met
Rfam family: tRNA
About the family: Transfer RNA (tRNA) molecules are approximately 80 nucleotides in length. Their secondary structure includes four short double-helical elements and three loops (D, anti-codon, and T loops).
Source: RNAcentral